Molecule: transfer RNA, 74 nt
Filed under: Escherichia coli
Lineage: Bacteria; Pseudomonadati; Pseudomonadota; Gammaproteobacteria; Enterobacterales; Enterobacteriaceae
Description: tRNA-Gly
Rfam family: tRNA
About the family: Transfer RNA (tRNA) molecules are approximately 80 nucleotides in length. Their secondary structure includes four short double-helical elements and three loops (D, anti-codon, and T loops). Further hydrogen bonds mediate the characteristic L-shaped molecular structure. tRNAs have two regions of fundamental functional importance: the anti-codon, which is responsible for specific mRNA codon recognition, and the 3' end, to which the tRNAs corresponding amino acid is attached (by aminoacyl-tRNA synthetases). tRNAs cope with the degeneracy of the genetic code in two manners: having more than one tRNA (with a specific anti-codon) for a particular amino acid; and 'wobble' base-pairing, i.e. permitting non-standard base-pairing at the 3rd anti-codon position.
Source: RNAcentral
GCGGGAGUAGCUCAAUGGCAGAGUCAUUGGCUUCCAACCAAAAGACGAGGGUUCGAUUCCCUUCUCCCGCUCCA